RNAcentral lists this ribosomal RNA (747 nucleotides) under uncultured Acidobacteriota bacterium. Its description in RNAcentral is "bacterial SSU rRNA". It matches the Rfam family "Bacterial small subunit ribosomal RNA", at positions 95 to 873 of the family's 1533-position model. The record is from RNAcentral. Lineage: Bacteria; Pseudomonadati; Acidobacteriota.
GUGGCGCACGGGUGAGUAACACGUGACUAACCUACCCUGGAGUGGGGGAUAACUGAGGGAAACCUUAGCUAAUACCGCAUAACACCUACGGGUCAAAGGAGCAAUUCGCUUCAGGAGGGGGUCGCGGUCGAUUAGUUAGUUGGCGGGGUAAUGGCCCACCAAGACUGUGAUCGAUAUCCGGCCUGAGAGGGCGCACGGACACACUGGAACUGAAACACGGUCCAGACUCCUACGGGAGGCAGCAGUGGGGAAUUUUGCGCAAUGGGGGAAACCCUGACGCAGCAACGCCGCGUGGAGGAUGAAGUACUUCGGUACGUAAACUCCUUUCGAUCGGGACGAUAAUGACGGUACCGGAAGAAGAAGCCCCGGCUAACUUCGUGCCAGCAGCCGCGGUAAUACGAGGGGGGCGAGCGUUGUUCGGAAUUAUUGGGCGUAAAGGGUGCGUAGGCGGUUUGGUAAGUCUCUUGUGAAAUCUCAGGGCUCAACUCUGAGACUGCAAGGGAAACUGCCGGGCUUGAGUAUGGGAGAGGUGAGUGGAAUUCCUGGUGUAGCGGUGAAAUGCGUAGAUAUCAGGAGGAACACCUGUGGCGAAAGCGGCUCACUGGACCAUAACUGACGCUGAUGCACGAAAGCUAGGGGAGCAAACAGGAUUAGAUACCCUGGUAGUCCUAGCCCUAAACGAUGACUGCUUGGUGUGGCGGGUACCCAAUCCCGCCGUGCCGUAGCUAACGCGUUAAGCAGUCCGCC